GACGAGCGCUGGCGGCGUGCUUAACACAUGCAAGUCGAACGGUGAUGCUCCAGCUUGCUGGAGUGGAUCAGUGGCGAACGGGUGAGUAACACGUGAGCAACCUGCCCCAGACUCUGGAAUAAGCGCUGGAAACGGCGUCUAAUACUGGAUACGAAACUGGCCCGCAUGGGCAUGGUUUGGAAAGUUUUUCGGUUUGGGAUGGGCUCGCGGCCUAUCAGCUUGUUGGUGAGGUAAUGGCUCACCAAGGCGACGACGGGUAGCCGGCCUGAGAGGGCGACCGGCCACACUGGGACUGAGACACGGCCCAGACUCCUACGGGAGGCAGCAGUGGGGAAUAUUGCACAAUGGGCGAAAGCCUGAUGCAGCGACGCCGCGUGAGGGAUGACGGCCUUCGGGUUGUAAACCUCUUUCAGCAGCGAAGAAGCGAAAGUGACGGUACCUGCAGAAGAAGCACCGGCUAACUACGU
RNAcentral lists this ribosomal RNA (467 nucleotides) under uncultured bacterium. Its description in RNAcentral is "partial 16S ribosomal RNA". It matches the Rfam family "Bacterial small subunit ribosomal RNA", at positions 28 to 506 of the family's 1533-position model. The record is from RNAcentral.